GCCCGUGUAGUAUGGUGGCGGAAUUGGAAACGACCGUAACGCUUUCUUAACAGCGUAGGACACCUUAGCUAUGCGGGUUU
This 80-nucleotide small RNA is filed under the name Flavobacterium collinsii. Lineage: Bacteria; Pseudomonadati; Bacteroidota; Flavobacteriia; Flavobacteriales; Flavobacteriaceae. The record is from RNAcentral.